RNAcentral lists this signal recognition particle RNA (308 nucleotides) under Nelumbo nucifera (sacred lotus). RNAcentral's name for it is "Plant signal recognition particle RNA". It matches the Rfam family "Plant signal recognition particle RNA". Lineage: Eukaryota; Viridiplantae; Streptophyta; Magnoliopsida; Proteales; Nelumbonaceae. The record is from Rfam by way of RNAcentral.
GCCGACCUUGGUAGCACAAAUUUGUAACUCAAGCGAGGGCACUAAGGUGGUUGAAUGUUGGCCCGAUUCCGACAGGCAGGAGCAGUCGGAGCUAAUUUGAUGGUACGCCCAUUCCAUGUAGGGAGUUGAACCAUGUGGCUUGAGAGAAAGCUUGGUCAUGUGGCUCUUAGAGUUGGAGGGCACCGCGUCAGGCUGGCUUCACAAAGCAGCAAAAACCUCCUGCUCCCAUCAGUGGAAAGGAUAACGAGUCGGCGCUCUGCUGCCCCAACAAUUGCCCUAAGAGUCGAGCCCAAUGGACAACCACCUUU